This 199-nucleotide long non-coding RNA is filed under the name Elaeis guineensis (African oil palm). RNAcentral describes it as "long non-coding RNA (EGUI_LNC008986)". Lineage: Eukaryota; Viridiplantae; Streptophyta; Magnoliopsida; Arecales; Arecaceae. The record is from RNAcentral.
AGCUGCCGCCACCCGAGCUCGAAGCUGGAUUCUCUCUCUUGAGAAUCUCAUUUCGGAGAAUCAUUAUGAUGACCUCAUCCAUCUUGAUGGUGCUCUUCCCCACUAAAAGAGCAGUCACUAAAGACUUAUAUGAAGGAAAAAGCGAUGGUACCAAGACCAGCACCCUAGUCUUCUUCUCAACUUUCUCGUAAUGCUGAGG